AGAGUUUGAUCCUGGCUCAGGACGAACGCUGGCGGCGCGCCUAACACAUGCAAGUCGAACGGAGCUUAGAGAGCUUGCUUUUUAAGCUUAGUGGCGAACGGGUGAGUAACGCGUGAGUAACCUGCCCUAGAGUGGGGGACAACAGUUGGAAACGACUGCUAAUACCGCAUAAGCCCACGGUACCGCAUGGUACUGAGGGAAAAGGAUUUAUUCGCUUUAGGAUGGACUCGCGUCCAAUUAGCUAGUUGGUGAGGUAACGGCCCACCAAGGCGACGAUUGGUAGCCGGACUGAGAGGUUGAACGGCCACAUUGGGACUGAGACACGGCCCAGACUCCUACGGGAGGCAGCAGUGGGGGAUAUUGCACAAUGGGGGAAACCCUGAUGCAGCGACGCCGCGUGGAGGAAGAAGGUUUUCGGAUUGUAAACUCCUGUCGUUAGGGACGAUAAUGACGGUACCUAACAAGAAAGCACCGGCUAACUACGUGCCAGCAGCCGCGGUAAAACGUAGGGUGCAAGCGUUGUCCGGAAUUACUGGGUGUAAAGGGAGCGCAGGCGGGAAGACAAGUUGGAAGUGAAAACCAUGGGCUCAACCCAUGAAUUGCUUUCAAAACUGUUUUUCUUGAGUAGUGCAGAGGUAGAUGGAAUUCCCGGUGUAGCGGUGGAAUGCGUAGAUAUCGGGAGGAACACCAGUGGCGAAGGCGGUCUACUGGGCACCAACUGACGCUGAGGCUCGAAAGCAUGGGUAGCAAACAGGAUUAGAUACCCUGGUAGUCCAUGCCGUAAACGAUGAUUACUAGGUGUUGGGGGAUUGACCCCCUCAGUGCCGCAGUUAACACAAUAAGUAAUCCACCUGGGGAGUACGACCGCAAGGUUGAAACUCAAAGGAAUUGACGGGGGCCCGCACAAGCAGUGGAGUAUGUGGUUUAAUUCGAAGCAACGCGAAGAACCUUACCAGGUCUUGACAUCCGUGUAAAGCCGAAGAGAUUCGGUGUGAGCUUGCUCAAUACGAGACAGGUGGUGCAUGGUUGUCGUCAGCUCGUGUCGUGAGAUGUUGGGUUAAGUCCCGCAACGAGCGCAACCCUUAUCGUCCGUUACUAACAGGUAAAGCUGAGGACUCAGACGAGACCGCCGGGGACAACUCGGAGGAAGGUGGGGACGACGUCAAAUCAUCAUGCCCCUUACGACCUGGGCUACACACGUGCUACAAUGGGUACAACAAAGAGACGCGAGACCGCAAGGUGGAGCAAAACUCAGAAAAGUACUCUCAGUUCAGAUUGUGGGCUGCAACCCGCCCACAUGAAGUUGGAGUUGCUAGUAAUCGCGGAUCAGCAUGCCGCGGUGAAUACGUUCCCGGGCCUUGUACACACCGCCCGUCACACCAUGGGAGUUGGGAGCGCCCGAAGCCAGUGAGGUAACCGAAAGGAGCCAGCUGUCGAAGGUGAGACCAAUGACUGGGGUGAAGUCGUAACAAGGUA
This 1476-nucleotide ribosomal RNA is filed under the name metagenome. RNAcentral's name for it is "bacterial SSU rRNA". It matches the Rfam family "Bacterial small subunit ribosomal RNA". The record is from RNAcentral.